GACGAACGCUGGCGGCGUGCUUAACACAUGCAAGUCGAACGGAAAGGCCUCUUUCGGGGGGUACUCGAGUGGCGAACGGGUGAGUAACACGUGAGUAACCUGCCCUUGACUUUGGGAUAACUUCAGGAAACUGGGGCUAAUACCGGAUAGGAGCUCCAGCUGCAUGGUGGGGGUUGGAAAGUUUCGGCGGUUGGGGAUGGACUCGCGGCUUAUCAGCUUGUUGGUGGGGUAGUGGCUUACCAAGGCUUUGACGGGUAGCCGGCCUGAGAGGGUGACCGGCCACAUUGGGACUGAGAUACGGCCCAGACUCCUACGGGAGGCAGCAGUGGGGAAUAUUGCACAAUGGGUGGAAGCCUGAUGCAGCAACGCCGUGUGCGGGAUGACGGCCUUCGGGUUGUAAACCGCUUUCGCUCAUGACGAAGCUUUGUGUGACGGUAGUGGGUAAAGAAGCACCGGCUAACUACGUG
Molecule: ribosomal RNA, 467 nt
Filed under: uncultured bacterium
Lineage: Bacteria
Description: partial 16S ribosomal RNA
Rfam family: Bacterial small subunit ribosomal RNA
Source: RNAcentral